CGUGCGUGGGUCAAAUGAUUGUUUAGGAAGUCUGUAUGAUGACGAAAAAACUGCAGGUGACUAAAAGCUGCCGAUGAGCUGCCAGUCCGGAUGGCAGCUGUCAACACCGCAAGGGCCUGCAGGCGCAUCAGCCCUCCCCCCGUUCCUCUACUGCCAUUGGAGACAGGAUGCUUUGUAAAAGAUUGUUUCUUUUCUUCAGUGGGAGCUCAUGAAGGUGGCACUGUGCACAGAG
RNAcentral lists this long non-coding RNA (232 nucleotides) under Ixodes scapularis (black-legged tick). RNAcentral describes it as "uncharacterized LOC115331876, transcript variant X2". The record is from RNAcentral. Lineage: Eukaryota; Metazoa; Arthropoda; Arachnida; Ixodida; Ixodidae.